Molecule: ribosomal RNA, 585 nt
Filed under: uncultured bacterium
Lineage: Bacteria
Description: bacterial SSU rRNA
Rfam family: Bacterial small subunit ribosomal RNA
Source: RNAcentral
CCUACGGGAGGCAGCAGUGGGGAAUUUUGGACAAUGGACGCAAGUCUGAUCCAGCCAUUCCGCGUGCAGGACGAAGGCCUUCGGGUUGUAAACUGCUUUUGUACGGAACGAAAAAGCUCUUAUUAAUACUAGGAGUCCAUGACGGUACCGUAAGAAUAAGCACCGGCUAACUACGUGCCAGCAGCCGCGGUAAUACGUAGGGUGCAAGCGUUAAUCGGAAUUACUGGGCGUAAAGCGUGCGCAGGCGGUUAUAUAAGACAGAUGUGAAAUCCCCGAGCUUAACUUGGGAACUGCAUUUGUGACUGUAUAGCUAGAGUACGGCAGAGGGGGAUGGAAUUCCGCGUGUAGCAGUGAAAUGCGUAGAUAUGCGGAGGAACACCGGAUGGCGAAGGCAAUCCCCUGGGCCUGUACUGACGCUCAUGCACGAAAGCGUGGGGAGCAAACAGGAUUAGAUACCCUGGUAGUCCACGCCCUAAACGAUAGUCAACUGGUUGUUGGGUCUUCACUGACUCAGUAACGAAGCUAACGCGUGAAGUUGACCGCCUGGGGAUACGGCGCAAGGUUGAAACUCGAAAGGAUUGACGG